UAAGGAAUAUUGCACAAUGGGGGAAACCCUGAUGCAGCAACGCCGCGUGGGUGAAGAAGGCCUUCGGGUCGUAAAACCCUUUUCUGGGGGAUGAGGAAGGACAGUACCCCAGGAAUAAGUCUCGGCUAACUACGUGCCAGCAGCCGCGGUAAAACGUAGGAGGCGAGCGUUAUCCGGAUUCACUGGGCGUAAAGGGCAAGUAGGCGGCCGGGUGCGUUGUGCGUGACAGUUCCCGGCUCAACUGGGAGAGGUCGUACAAUACGGCCCGGCUAGAGGGCAGGAGAGGGAAGUGGAACUCCUGAUGUAGCGGUGGAAUGCUCAGAGAUCAGGAAGAACACCGGUGGCGAAAGCGGCUUCCUGGCCUGCCCCUGACGCUGAGAGGCGAAAGCUAGGGGAGCGAACG
Molecule: ribosomal RNA, 403 nt
Filed under: Chloroflexi bacterium enrichment culture
Lineage: Bacteria; Bacillati; Chloroflexota
Description: bacterial SSU rRNA
Rfam family: Bacterial small subunit ribosomal RNA
Source: RNAcentral